RNAcentral lists this ribosomal RNA (552 nucleotides) under uncultured bacterium. Its description in RNAcentral is "partial 16S ribosomal RNA". It matches the Rfam family "Bacterial small subunit ribosomal RNA", at positions 355 to 895 of the family's 1533-position model. The record is from RNAcentral.
UGGGGAAUAUUGCACAAUGGGCGCAAGCCUGAUGCAGCCAUGCCGCGUGUGUGAAGAAGGCCUUCGGUUGUAAAGCACUUUCAGCGAGGAGGAAGGUGGUGAGCUUAAUACGCUCAUCAAUUGACGUUACUCGCAGAAGAAGCACCGGCUAACUCCGUGCCAGCAGCCGCGGUAAUACGGAGGGUGCAAGCGUUAAUCGGAAUUACUGGGCGUAAAGCGCACGCAGGCGGUUUGUUAAGUCAGAUGUGAAAAUCCCCGGGCUCAACCUGGGAACUGCAUUUGAAACUGGCAAGCUAGAGUCUCGUAGAGGGGGGUAGAAUUCCAGGUGGUAGCGGUGAAAUGCGUAGAGAUCUGGAGGAAUACCGGUGGCGAAGGCGGCCCCCUGGACGAAGACUGACGCUCAGGUGCGAAAAGCGUGGGGAGCAAAACAGGAUUAGAUACCCUGGUAGUCCACGCUGUAAAACGAUGUCGAUUUGGAGGUUGUGCCCUUGAGGCGUGGCUUCCGGAGCUAACGCGUUAAAUCGACCGCCUGGGGAGUACGGCCGCAAGGUU